Belonocnema kinseyi is the source of this 689-nucleotide long non-coding RNA. RefSeq lists it as uncharacterized. NCBI's taxonomy places the organism in Eukaryota, Metazoa, Arthropoda, Insecta, Hymenoptera, Cynipidae. The record is from RefSeq and is a predicted model, not a curated record. The transcript has 2 exons.
CCCCCCCCACCUCGUAACCCAUUUCUUGGUUACCCAAUCAUCUUCCAAACAUAAUUAUUUUCACAUAGUUAUUCUCAUUAUUCUCACAGGCCUUUACGACUUUGUGUAAUAGACUUUUUCAUUUCAAUUAUUUUUUUGUGCGGUUUGUAGUGGUCGCAGUAGAGCUUCGUACGUCGAAUUUUACAUUUUUUAUUUUAUUUUUUUCCAUAAACCAUGCCUGCAAUUUAGAAAGGCAGAAAUUAGUAAUGCCAGUCUCAAAUUCCACUUAAAACGUGUGAAGCGUGCAGGAAAUGCAAUAAAUAGCUGAAGUUGUGUUGACGUAAAUAUUCCAAGUUCAAAUCAAUCGGGAACGUCACAAAAGAUACAUCUCUUUGUUCUUUACACUUCUUUGUAGAAUCGCACCUACAGAAGAGCAUCCAGGCCUGAUGGAAUGUCGGCCGGAAACAAUAAAAAGACAGUAAAAAAAGUCUAGAAGGAGCUUAGAGCAAAAGUACCAACAUUUCUCAUUGAAGUCUGAGGAAUUUACUUCAAGUACAGGUACUUCAAUAAAGUCGAAAAAUUCUGUGAUCUUGAACCAACUUUUUCUUCUGAGAUGCAGAGCGUGGACAUAGAAUCUCUCUUUAUCUCACUUUUGUCUCCCGUACUAUUUCUAAUGUAAAUAAAUGGAAGAAUAAACCAAUCUUUCGUAA